CCGAGUUUACAACUCCCAAACCCUUAUGUGAACCAUACCUAUCGUUGCUUCGGCGGUGACGCCCCGGCUCCCCGAGCCCGGACCCAGGCGCCCGCCGGAGACCCCAAACUCUUGUAUUUGUUUCAGUAUUUUCUCUGAGUGGCAAACGCAAAAAAUAAAUCA
RNAcentral lists this unclassified non-coding RNA (162 nucleotides) under uncultured Stachybotrys. Its description in RNAcentral is "sequence contains ITS1". The record is from RNAcentral. Lineage: Eukaryota; Fungi; Ascomycota.